Molecule: unclassified non-coding RNA, 605 nt
Filed under: Hevea brasiliensis (rubber tree)
Lineage: Eukaryota; Viridiplantae; Streptophyta; Magnoliopsida; Malpighiales; Euphorbiaceae
Source: RNAcentral
AGAGAGAGAGAGAGAGAGAACAACACUUUGUUGGACAAUUAUAUAUAUUUGCGUUUACAUUCACACAAAAAAUCCAUUUUCACUGGUUAACACUGUUUUAAGUUCUUUUCAAAUUUUCAUUCUUUUUGUUUGUUUCUGCUUUGUUUUAUUUUUUUAAAUAUUGGUUGGGAAUGUCUUGUCACAGGUUGCAGAAUACCUUGUUCCAAAUAUAAGAUCUAUCCCUGCCAAUGGAUCAAUGAAGCCUACUUAUAUUCGAUUUCUUACCGGCAUAAAAGCCUACUCACAAAUAUUCUCAAGACUAGCUUUCGGUGCAAGAAGAAACAGAUAUUUACUUGAAGAUUGAAAAGCAUGUGGGCUCUUGUUUUUUCCCUGAAAAAUGUUUUGUGUAAAUUUGCAAGUUAUUCCAUAUUCAGUCGAUAUAUAUAUAUUUUUUGUUCAUAUGGAUUUUUUUUUCUUUUGAGUCAAUGACAUUUACAUACGAAGCAUGGCAAUGUUUUCAGUUUCUAUGGGCAAACGAUUAGAACGUGUUUGGUAGUGUAUAAUUGAAUUUGGGAUAAGUUCAGAUUUGAGAAAUAAUAGUGGUGAUGAGUUUGGAUUGAAUUUGG